RNAcentral lists this long non-coding RNA (318 nucleotides) under Carica papaya (papaya). RNAcentral's name for it is "long non-coding RNA (CPAP_LNC000519)". Lineage: Eukaryota; Viridiplantae; Streptophyta; Magnoliopsida; Brassicales; Caricaceae. The record is from RNAcentral.
AUGGGGAUACUAGGCUCUAAAGUCUGAUUCUAACUCCCAGGUAGCCUCUCUUGGCGAGUGAUUUUGCCACACUACCUUUACAAAUUAUAUUUUUCGGUUGUGGAGUAUUCUGCUCUUUCGGUCCGUGACACCGACUGGUACUUCCUCAUAAGAUAAGUCCUCUUUGAGUGGAAGCGGUUCAUGAGCCAAGACAUGAGAGGGGUCCGGGUUGUACUUACGUAGCAUGGAUACAUGGAACACAUUGUGGACCUUGGAGAGCUCUGGAGGCAGUGCUAGUUUGUAUGCGGCAGUACCAAUCCUGUCUAAGACUUCAUAUGG